AUUGAACGCUGGCGGCAGGCUUAACACAUGCAAGUCGAACGAGUGGCGGACGGGUGAGUAAUGCUUGGGAAUCUGGCUUAUGGAGGGGGAUAACGACGGGAAACUGUAGCUAAUACCGCGUACCAUAGGAUGAGCCCAAAUGGGAUUAGGUAGUUGGUGGGGUAAUGGCCUACCAAGCCGACGAUCCCUAGCUGGUCUGAGAGGAUGACCAGCCACACCGGAACUGAGACACGGUCCGGACUCCUACGGGAGGCAGCAGUGGGGAAUAUUGCGCAAUGGGGGCAAGCUGAUGCAGCCAUGCCGCGUGAAUGAAGAAGGCCUUCGGGUUGUAAAGUUCUUUCGGUGAGGAGGCGUUACCCACAGAAGAAGCACCGGCUAACUCCGUGCCAGCAGCCGCGGUAAUUC
Molecule: ribosomal RNA, 405 nt
Filed under: uncultured bacterium
Lineage: Bacteria
Description: partial 16S ribosomal RNA
Rfam family: Bacterial small subunit ribosomal RNA
Source: RNAcentral